Molecule: ribosomal RNA, 577 nt
Filed under: uncultured bacterium
Lineage: Bacteria
Description: partial 16S ribosomal RNA
Rfam family: Bacterial small subunit ribosomal RNA
Source: RNAcentral
UGGGAAUUUGGACGAAUGGGCGAAAGCCUGAUCCAGCAAUGCCGCGUGUGUGAAGAAGGCCUUCGGGUUGUAAAGCACUUUUGUCCGGAAAGAAAUCCUUGGCUCUAAUACAGUCGGGGGAUGACGGUACCGGAAGAAUAAGCACCGGCUAACUACGUGCCAGCAGCCGCGGUAAUACGUAGGGUGCAAGCGUUAAUCGGAAUUACUGGGCGUAAAGCGUGCGCAGGCGGUUUGCUAAGACCGAUGUGAAAUCCCCGGGCUCAACCUGGGAACUGCAUUGGUGACUGGCAGGCUAGAGUAUGGCAGAGGGGGGUAGAAUUCCACGUGUAGCAGUGAAAUGCGUAGAGAUGUGGAGGAAUACCGAUGGCGAAGGCAGCCCCCUGGGCCAAUACUGACGCUCAUGCACGAAAGCGUGGGGAGCAAACAGGAUUAGAUACCCUGGUAGUCCACGCCCUAAACGAUGUCAACUAGUUGUUGGGGAUUCAUUUCCUUAGUAACGUAGCUAACGCGUGAAGUUGACCGCCUAGGAGUACGGUCGCAAGAUUAAAACUCAAAGGAAUUGACGGGGUCAUAGCUG